This 460-nucleotide ribosomal RNA is filed under the name uncultured bacterium. Its description in RNAcentral is "partial 16S ribosomal RNA". It matches the Rfam family "Bacterial small subunit ribosomal RNA", at positions 338 to 795 of the family's 1533-position model. The record is from RNAcentral.
CCUACGGGUGACAGCAGUGAGGAAUAUUGGUCAAUGGGCGCGAGCCUGAACCAGCCAAGUAGCGUGAAGGAUGACUGCCCUACGGGUCGUAAACUUCUUUUAUAAAGGAAUAAAGUGAGGCACGUGUGCCUUUUUGUAUGUACUUUAUGAAUAAGGAUCGGCUAACUCCGUGCCAGCAGCCGCGGUAAUACGGAGGAUCCGAGCGUUAUCCGGAUUUAUUGGGUUUAAAGGGAGCGUAGAUGGGUUGUUAAGUCAGUUGUGAAAGUUUGCGGCUCAACCGUAAAAUUGCAAUUGAUACUGGCAGUCUUGAGGACAGUUGAGGUAGGUGGAAUUCGUGGUGUAGCGGUGAAAUGCUUAGAUAUCACGAAGAACUCCGAUUGCGAAGGCAGCUUACUAAACUGCCACUGACAUUGAUGCUCGAAAGUGUGGGUAUCAAACAGGAUUAGAUACCCUAGUAGUC